UGAUAUGAUGAGCACAACGCCAUAAGUGUUGUUACUAUCUCUUCAUUCAUGCUUCAUUGCACCAGGAAUGCCACCUUCUCUGCAGAGUUCUCAAUACCUCCUUUUAGAAGCCUUUUGUUUUGUUCAUCUUCCAAGUAGAAACAGUGGAAAAAUUGUUUUAUCUGCUUGGGAUAGGGAUGCAGUUCACUCUGUAGAGUGCUUGGCCUUGGGUAGAAAAAGUGGUGAAGCCAGUUCAAGAUAGAUUAGACGAAAUUUGUUUUAUGAUGAUUAAUGAGUGACUCCAUCUCUAAUUUUCAAACACACUACAGAGACAACUAUGAUGAACAGAUUUUAGACCUGAUCAAUGUUGCUUUCAUCUGUAAACCAUAAUUUUCCCAGACAAUGGAUUCUUAUGUUGGAAUGAUCUUUUCCCAGUGGCAUCGCAGAAGCCACUUUUAGUCUACUCUAAUUGAGCGAAUCCCUGGCCUAAAAAUUCAUAUACUUUUGACUGUUUGUUGGAGAUGGGGAGGGAGGGAGAGAG
RNAcentral lists this long non-coding RNA (520 nucleotides) under Elaeis guineensis (African oil palm). RNAcentral's name for it is "long non-coding RNA (EGUI_LNC077253)". Lineage: Eukaryota; Viridiplantae; Streptophyta; Magnoliopsida; Arecales; Arecaceae. The record is from RNAcentral.